UAGGGAAUCUUCGGCAAUGGACGAAAGUCUGACCGAGCAACGCCUCGUGAGUGAAGAAGGUUUUCGGAUCGUAAAACUCUGUUGUUAGAGAAGAACAAGGACGUUAGUAACUGAACGUCCCCUGACGGUAUCUAACCAGAAAGCCACGGCUAACUACGUGCCAGCAGCCGCGGUAAUACGUAGGUGGCAAGCGUUGUACGGAUUUAUUGGGCGUAAAGCGAGCGCAGGCGGUUUCUUAAGUCUGAUGGGAAAGCCCCCGGCUCAACCGGGGAGGGUCAUUGGAAACGGGGAGACUUGAGUGCAGAAGAGGAGAGUGGAAUUCCAGGUGUAGCGGUGAAAUGCGUAGAUAUAUGGAUGAACACCAGUGGCGAAGGCGGCUCUCUGGUCUGUAACAGACGCAGAGGAUCGAAAGCGUGGGGAGCAAACAGG
RNAcentral lists this ribosomal RNA (429 nucleotides) under Chloroflexota bacterium. RNAcentral's name for it is "Chloroflexi bacterium partial 16S ribosomal RNA". It matches the Rfam family "Bacterial small subunit ribosomal RNA", at positions 355 to 776 of the family's 1533-position model. The record is from RNAcentral. Lineage: Bacteria; Bacillati; Chloroflexota.